UACGGAGGGUGCAAACGUUGCUCGGAAUCAUUGGGCGUAAAGCGCACGUAGGCGGUCCCGCUUGUCGGGUGUGAAAGCCCUCGGCUCAACCGAGGAAGUGCAUUCGAAACGGAGGGACUUGAAUACUGGAGAGGGUUGCGGAAUUCCCGGUGUAGAGGUGAAAUUCGUAGAUAUCGGGAGGAACACCAGCGGCGAAGGCGGCAACCUGGACAGAUAUUGACGCUGAGGUGCGAAAGCGUGGGGAGCAAACAGG
This 253-nucleotide ribosomal RNA is filed under the name uncultured bacterium. Its description in RNAcentral is "partial 16S ribosomal RNA". It matches the Rfam family "Bacterial small subunit ribosomal RNA", at positions 524 to 776 of the family's 1533-position model. The record is from RNAcentral.